UNGUUUUAGAUGUCCCCCUUUAUUGCUGUA
Molecule: non-coding RNA, 30 nt
Filed under: Mus musculus (house mouse)
Lineage: Eukaryota; Metazoa; Chordata; Mammalia; Rodentia; Muridae
Source: RNAcentral